Molecule: ribosomal RNA, 402 nt
Filed under: uncultured bacterium
Lineage: Bacteria
Description: partial 16S ribosomal RNA
Rfam family: Bacterial small subunit ribosomal RNA
Source: RNAcentral
UGGGGAAUAUUGGACAAUGGGCGAAAGCCUGAUCCAGCCAUGCCGCAUGAGUGAAGAAGGCCUUUGGGUUGUAAAGCUCUUUUAGUGAGGAAGAUAAUGACGGUACUCACAGAAGAAGUCCUGGCUAACUCCGUGCCAGCAGCCGCGGUAAUACGGAGAGGGCUAGCGAUAUUCGGAAUUAUUGGGCGUAAAGGGCGCGUAGGCUGGUUAAUAAGUUAAAAGUGAAAUCCCGAGGCUUAACCUUGGAAUUGCUUUUAAAACUAUUAAUCUAGAGAUUGAAAGAGGAUAGAGGAAUUCCUGAUGUAGAGGUAAAAUUCGUAAAUAUUAUGAGGAACACCAGUGGCGAAGGCGUCUAUCUGGUUCAAAUCUGACGCUGAAGCGCGAAGGCGUUGGGAGCAAACA